Molecule: ribosomal RNA, 445 nt
Filed under: uncultured bacterium
Lineage: Bacteria
Description: partial 16S ribosomal RNA
Rfam family: Bacterial small subunit ribosomal RNA
Source: RNAcentral
GUGAGGAAUAUUGCGCAAUGGAGGCAACUCUGACGCAGCCAUGCCGCGUGCAGGAAGAAGGCGCUACGCGUUGUAAACUGCUUUUAACCGGGAAGAAACCCCAGGACGUGUCCUGGGUUGACGGUACCGGAGGAAUAAGCACCGGCUAACUUCGUGCCAGCAGCCGCGGUAAUACGAAGGGUCCAAGCGUUAUCCGGAUUCAUUGGGUUUAAAGGGUGCGUAGGCGGAGCGUUAAGUCAGUGGUGAAAUCCUGCAGCUUAACUGUAGACUUGCCAUUGAUACUGGCGCUCUUGAGUGCGCUUGAAGUGGGCGGAAUGUGCCGUGUAGCGGUGAAAUGCUUAGAUAUGGCACAGAACACCAAUUGCGAAGGCAGCUCACUAAGGCGAUACUGACGCUGAGGCACGAAAGCGUGGGGAUCGAACAGGAUUAGAAACCCUGGUAGUCC